GAGUUUGAUCUUGGCUCAGAUUGAACGCUGGCGGCAGGCCUAACACAUGCAAGUCGGGCGGUAGAGAGAAGCUUGCUUCUCUUGAGAGCGGCGGACGGGUGAGUAAUGCCUAGGAAUCUGCCUGGUAGUGGGGGAUAACGCUCGGAAACGGACGCUAAUACCGCAUACGUCCUACGGGAGAAAGCAGGGGACCUUCGGGCCUUGCGCUAUCAGAUGAGCCUAGGUCGGAUUAGCUAGUUGGUGAGGUAAUGGCUCACCAAGGCGACGAUCCGUAACUGGUCUGAGAGGAUGAUCAGUCACACUGGAACUGAGACAC
This 316-nucleotide ribosomal RNA is filed under the name uncultured bacterium. RNAcentral describes it as "bacterial SSU rRNA". It matches the Rfam family "Bacterial small subunit ribosomal RNA", at positions 9 to 327 of the family's 1533-position model. The record is from RNAcentral.